GCACGGGUACGGGGAAUCAGGGUUCGAUUCCGGAGAGGGAGCCUGAGAAACGGCUACCACAUCCAAGGAAGGCAACAGGCGCGCAAAUUACCCAAUCUAGACAGUAGGAGGUGGUGAAGAGAAUUACUAAGUGGUGGUCUAAUAGAUCACUUGUUUGGAAUGAACGUAACUUAAGAAAUUCGUUGAUAAACAACUGGAGGGCAAGUCCUGGUGCCAGCAGCCGCGGUAAUUCCAGCUCCAGUAGUUUGCUUUAAAGUUGUUGCGUUUAAAACGCUCGUAGUUGGAUCACGCAGCAGUGUUGAGUAAUCUAAAGUAAGGAGAGGCAAAUGAGUUCGUCACAGACGACCAUUUUGCUGAUUCAUGACGAUAGAUAUACAUGCUGAACACUGUUAGUUGCACGUGAGAUAGAUUGUUGGCCUUUAAUGAGCCGGUAUUCUCGUCUUGCGGGGUGUGCCUUGAAUAAAACAGAGUGCUUAAAGCAGGUUAUUGCCUGAAUGUUAUAGCAUGGAACGAACAAUCGUGUAUAUGUGCGCGUAUUUGACUGGUGGCAAGCCUUUGGUUUGUCGUUGGUUGAAACGUGCACGGCACCCACCAAAAUAUGGCUGUUGGUUCCAUAUACGGUGAUGAUUAAAAGGAGCGGUUGGGGGCAUCGGUAUUUGGCCGCGAGAGGUGAAAUUCUUAGACCGGCCAAGGACUAACAAAUGCAAAGGCACUUGUCUAGACCGUUUCCAUUAAUCAAGAACGAAAGUGGGAGGUUCGAAGACGAUCAGAUACCGUCAUAGUUCCCACCGUAAACUAUGCCGACCUGGGAUCAGCUCAGAGAUGUUACAAGCUCUGGGUUGGUCCCCCUGGGAAACCUUAAGUUUUUCGGUUACGGGGAGAGUAUGGUCGCAAGGCUGAAACUUAAAGGAAUUGACGGAAGGGCACCACCAGGGGUGGAGCCUGCGGCUUAAUUUGACUCAACACGGGGAAACUUACCUGGUCCGGACAUCGAUAGGAUUAACAGAUCAAUAGCUCUUUUAUGAUCCGAUGAGUGGUGGUGCAUGGCCGUUCUUAGUUCGUGGAGUGAUCUGUCAGCUUUAUUGCGGUAACGAACGAGACCACAGUCUCCAUUUAAGAGGUAAGAGUAGGCGAUCCUUGUCUCUCAAGUGUCUUGUGCAUUUGUCGGCGAGUCGCUGUAGGAAGAGUGGUGUGCUUUGUUGAUGCACUUGUUGAGGUAACUUGGCAGGGGCGCUGGCAGAGUGUGACAUUUCUCCCUUUUAUCACGCAGCAGUUGGUUCCCACUGGCUGUUGCCUUAUGGAGAGACAACGAGGUAUAGACAAGCUCGAGGAAGAGUGGCUAUAACAGGUCAGUGAUGCCCU
This 1362-nucleotide ribosomal RNA is filed under the name Myxobolus tauricus. RNAcentral describes it as "SSU rRNA". It matches the Rfam family "Eukaryotic small subunit ribosomal RNA", at positions 353 to 1473 of the family's 1831-position model. The record is from RNAcentral. Lineage: Eukaryota; Metazoa; Cnidaria; Myxozoa; Bivalvulida; Myxobolidae.